Long non-coding RNA from Bos indicus x Bos taurus (hybrid cattle), 496 nucleotides. Lineage: Eukaryota; Metazoa; Chordata; Mammalia; Artiodactyla; Bovidae. The record is from Ensembl.
UGUCACCCCAAAUGAGGCAUCAGCUGCCUUCAAAAGGCUCAGUGCACAGUGUUUACCGCUUUCCUCGGACCCGCUUUUGAUUUUACGACUUUUCAGCACCCACCUCCCAUACCCACUAGUGCGUGCCACCUCAGCUAUCCAAAGCAGUGGGAAGAAAGGACAGCACAUGGCUUCGAGCCUGGUAUGGGACAGGCAUGGAAUAAAGGUGGCCUUCCGUCUUCCUCAAACAAAUGAUCUGUCCUGGAGACAGCACGCUAUGGAGCGUAUGGUUAAGCAAGGGAUUGGGGGGACAUGAGACAUGUUGAACUGCAAGAUUCCACUCCUGACGCCAGAAUUUGUCAAGAGGACCGCAUUGUUGUUUCUCACUGAGGCAUAGGACUGACUGCGGGCCAUUGUUUCUCCAGCUCAAGUGGGCCUGUCUGGUUCGUGUUGGAAGAAUAGGGGCGACAUGCGUGAGUUCCCAAGUAUAAAGGAACUACCGGUUCUAGAAAGACAC